CUGUCAAUUAACUAUCAAAUAAAGGCCACUAGAGCCAAUAAAACCUUAAAAUUGUUUUUGUUCAUACACUGCUCAAACCAAACAGUAAAUGCAGUGCUUUUAUAUACCAAUGAUGAAAACACUCAAAAUGUGUAAAAAAAAACUUAUGACAAGCAAUAUUUGUCUGAGAAAAUGUGCUUUUGAUUGUAAAAUCUUAUUGCACAUUAUGAUACACUACACAACAUCUUCAUGUAUCAAAAUGAAACUUGACAUUAGAUUCAGUGCCUAAUCAUUUUGGAUGUGAUGGUCAUUACAGUUGUUGAGACUGAAAAGUGUGGUCCGCCAGUAGAGCAUGUGACUCAUGUACGGAGGCCUCAGUCAUUGAUGCGGCCGUCACAGGUUCGAAUCCCGGUCCGUUGAUCUUUUCUGUAUGUCCUCUACCUCUCUCAUAACCCACUUGCCUGUCAACUCACUGUCAAUUAAAGGUCACAAGGACAAAAAAAAUAAUUUAAAAAAAAAGAGAAAAAUUGAAAAGUGCAUAUGAAAAGCUUCAAAUGUGUGUUAUUGUGUGCAGUUGGAUCUAUGUUUGCUUAGUUAAGAGACUCGAGUGCUUUCCCCAUCCCAAGGUAAACUGGAUGCAAUAAAAUAAAGCUAACCAGGUAUGUGAUUUAUUAAAGUAUGUAUGUUUUGUGCAAAAUGCAAACAACCUGUGCCCAACCCAAAACAUGGAAGACAAGCAUAUAUAUGCUGUGAUUUAACUAACAGUGCCUAGCAAAAGUAUUGCUUCCAGAUAAAUGUUUUCAUUGUCAUUUUACAAUGGAUUUCAAAAUAUUCUGUUGGGAUUUAUGUGAUAGGGUAUUGUAGUGAAGUGUGUCAUUGUAAAAUUAAACGAGCAAGAAUAAAGUGUUAAACAAUAUCAUUCACUUUGAAGAUUUCUGGGAGCAAAUAUUAACUUUGUUUUGCAAAAAUUUGUUUGGAGACUACCAUUUCUCAAAACACCCCCACUGUGAACUUAGUGAUGACAUUACUGAUUUGUUUUCAGCAAGGCCAGAGAAACUGGUCAGAUUUAAGGAAAAACAAGUGGAGCACAAUUCUGGAAUACAGGUCAAAGUCUUUCCCUAAACAGAGAAAAUCUAUGUUUUACAGAUGCUUUCUGUGCAACAUCUACUAUUUUGCAGAAAGAUGGGCAAACAUUUAUGUUUCUAGAUGUGCAAAAGACUUGCAGUCAAAAUAGCAGUGAAAGGUUGUGACUUCUGAAUUCAUUUUUCUUUUUUUUUUAUAAAAACAGAAUAAAAACAUAUUUUUCUUUCUUCGAUUUCACAAUUAUAUACUACUUUCUGUUGGUCUGUCACAAAAUCCCAAUAAGAUGCAUUCAGGCUGCUGGUCAGCUGAUCCAGUGGUCUGCGAAUUUGUUUGUUCGCAGACCACUGGAGCAGAGCCAGUGUUUGGAGUAGAUCCAUGAGGUAAGAGGAAGCAAGACGAGUUUGGCUUUUAUAAGCAGACAUUGAUAUUUUCACGUUAAUUCUGUGAUGAACCAGAACUGAUGAAAGAUCGGUGAAACGUGCUCAUGUCUGUUUGUACCAGUUAUAACGACAAAAUGCGACAUUCAGCUGGAACAAAUACUUUCACGAAUACCUGUAUGUCAACAACUGUCAUAAUUUUUAUUUUAAUUAGCAAUUUACUUGUCAUAAACUUAGUUUCCUGUUCAGUUUCAUUUACCAAGAAAAUGAAACAGAGAGAACACUCCCUCCUCUCCUGUCUCCCUCCCUCACACACACACACACACACACACACAAACACACACAGACGCAGCUUUAAAGACCAGGAAGAAGUCAGUGCUGCCGGAAUAGAAGAUGUCAAGAAAAAUUGCAAGUUAUUGUGUUGCUCUGCUCCUGACUGUGACGUCGGUGUUCGCUGCACGGAGAAGUCUGAACUGCAUCGAUGAUCUGAAGACCUGCCACGAGUUUGAUGAAACAAAUAUCUUAGAACUUCUUCACUGGUUUGCUUGCGAAGUUGACAUCGACUACGACAAUACCAUCCAGCUGACCUUUGACCCAAACUCACGUCAUUAUGGCUGCCAUUAUUACAGAAAUCGGGAGGGACUCCUGGAAUCUCUGCCUCGGGGCUACCGAUACUACACUAUUGGCAAUAUUCAUCAAGCCGGUUCAGAACCACUUCCACCUUAUGUAGUAAAUUCCCGGAGAGGUAAUAUUGCCUGGAACAGCGCUCGAAUCCUAAUUAGAGUAAAUGAAGGCAGACGAAUAGACCAAGUCUUCAUCACUCGGCAUUAUGAUGCAUCUGAAUACCACGGAUCAAGCUAUGAUCCAGAACAGACAUUCAGAAUCACCACCUACUUUUUGAGGCAACUUAGGAAACGCUCCAUUCAUGAAAUCCAACAACUUGCUGAUGGUUACCAACCUGGAGCGUUUAGAAACACCUCUAAUACUUACUUCCAGCCUGGUUCCCAACCUGGACCGUUUAGAAACACCUCUAAUACUUACUUCCAGGAAGUUCACCAACCUAAGCAAGACACCCACAUAGACAUGCCUCAUAUCCCAGUUAUGCAAGAUGACUGCUCUCAAGACUGUAUACACAAAAUUUGCAGUUUUAUUUUAGCUAUAAUUAUUAUUUUUAUCAUUUUAGGGUCUUUCUUUGUUAAUCGUGGCAAAUAAUGUGAAAGAAGUAGGAAGGGAGCAUAUCACAUUAUCUUAAAAAACAUGCAACUGUGGUGCUUAUUGAUAGUAAUAAUGAUGCUUUUUUUCUACAGAAUUUUUGUGACAUAUUUUGAUCAAAUAUUUUAUAAAAAUAUGAUUUAAUUGUACAAAGAUUAUUUUUACUGUACAUAUGAAAGCACACCUCUGCCUCAUAUCAAGCAAUAAUGUGGAUUCAGACACCAUUAAUCUGGAAAUGUCUUUAAAACAGAAUCUAAAUUCUAAUAAAUUCAAAUAAAAAUGUGCCUCCACUUUAA
This is a long non-coding RNA of Poecilia latipinna (sailfin molly), 2947 nucleotides long. RefSeq lists it as uncharacterized. NCBI's taxonomy places the organism in Eukaryota, Metazoa, Chordata, Actinopteri, Cyprinodontiformes, Poeciliidae. The record is from RefSeq and is a predicted model, not a curated record. The transcript has 2 exons.